RNAcentral lists this ribosomal RNA (253 nucleotides) under uncultured bacterium. Its description in RNAcentral is "partial 16S ribosomal RNA". It matches the Rfam family "Bacterial small subunit ribosomal RNA", at positions 524 to 776 of the family's 1533-position model. The record is from RNAcentral.
UACGGAGGGUGCAAACGUUGCUCGGAAUCAUUGGGCGUAAAGCGCACGUAGGCGGCCUGUUAAGUCGGGUGUGAAAGCCCUGGGCUCAACCCAGGAAGUGCACUCGAAACUGGCAGGCUUGAAUAUGGAAGAGGGUCGCGGAAUUCCCGGUGUAGAGGUGAAAUUCGUAGAUAUCGGGAGGAACACCAGUGGCGAAGGCGGCGACCUGGGCCAAUAUUGACGCUGAGGUGCGAAAGCCAGGGGAGCAAACGGG